Molecule: ribosomal RNA, 592 nt
Filed under: Wolbachia sp.
Lineage: Bacteria; Pseudomonadati; Pseudomonadota; Alphaproteobacteria; Rickettsiales; Anaplasmataceae
Also listed under: 1 other name
Description: bacterial SSU rRNA
Rfam family: Bacterial small subunit ribosomal RNA
Source: RNAcentral
AUUAGAUGAGCCUAUAUUAGAUUAGCUAGUUGGUGGGGUAAUAGCCUACCAAGGUAAUGAUCUAUAGCUGAUCUGAGAGGAUGAUCAGCCACACUGGAACUGAGAUACGGUCCAGACUCCUACGGGAGGCAGCAGUGGGGAAUAUUGGACAAUGGGCGAAAGCCUGAUCCAGCCAUGCCGCAUGAGUGAAGAAGGCCUUUGGGUUGUAAAGCUCUUUUAGUGAGGAAGAUAAUGACGGUACUCACAGAAGAAGUCCUGGCUAACUCCGUGCCAGCAGCCGCGGUAAUACGGAGAGGGCUAGCGUUAUUCGGAAUUAUUGGGCGUAAAGGGCGCGUAGGCUGGUUAAUAAGUUAAAAGUGAAAUCCCGAGGCUUAACCUUGGAAUUGCUUUUAAAACUAUUAAUCUAGAGAUUGAAAGAGGAUAGAGGAAUUCCUGAUGUAGAGGUAAAAUUCGUAAAUAUUAGGAGGAACACCAGUGGCGAAGGCGUCUAUCUGGUUCAAAUCUGACGCUGAAGCGCGAAGGCGUGGGGAGCAAACAGGAUUAGAUACCCUGGUAGUCCACGCUGUAAACGAUGAAUGUUAAAUAUGGGGAG